Molecule: ribosomal RNA, 320 nt
Filed under: uncultured eukaryote
Lineage: Eukaryota
Description: partial 18S ribosomal RNA
Rfam family: Eukaryotic small subunit ribosomal RNA
Source: RNAcentral
CCCCUAGAUGUUCUGGGCCGCACGCGCGCUACACUGAACAGUUCAACAAGUCUUAACCUUGGCCGAUAGGUCUGGGUAAUCUUUGAACGCUGUUCGUGAUUGGGAUAGACCUUUGCAAUUAUGGGUCUUCAACGAGGAAUUCCUAGUAAACGCAAGUCAUCAGCUUGCAUUGAUUACGUCCCGGCCCUUUGUACACACCGCCCGUCGCACCUACCGAUUGAAUGGUCCGGUGAAAUCUCGGGACGGCGGCUUGGUCGCUUGCGUCCGACUGCUGAAACUUGAUUAAACCAUAUCAUUUAGAGGAAGGUGAAGUCGUAACA